ACUUUUCGCCAGAGCAAAUAUCUUGCGGAAUAAGUGGUGNGCCAGACUGNUGCCAGCCGCNGCGGUAACCCCAGCGCCACAAGUGGGNNCCACUUUUAUUGGGUCUAAAGCAUCCGUAGCCGGCUGACUAAAUUUCCUGUGAAAUCGUUCGGCUUAACCGAACGGCGUGCAGGGAAGACUGGUUGGCUUGAGACCAGGAGAAGUAGGAGGUAUUCUUGGGGGAGCGGUAAAAUGUUAUAAUCCCAGGAGGACCACCGAUGGCGAAGGCAUCCUACUAGAAUGGCUCUGACGGUGAGGGAUGAAAGCUAGGGGAGCGAUCCGGAUUAGAUAUCGACGAACUCGCGAGAGAGUUCCUCGGAAUUAGCCUCGCAAGACCGCUGUAUUCUACAAUGCGAGAUAAGUACCGAAGAACAUUAUCGAGUUUGCUCGACUAAUUACCCGAGUAGUCCUAGCCGUAAACACUGCGAGCAAGAUGUUGCGCAUUCCUCGCGAAUGCGCGGUAUCGUAACGAAGGUGUUAAGCUCGCCACCUGGGAAGUACGGUCGCAAGGCUGAAACUUAAAGGAAUUGGCGGGGGAGCAC
Molecule: ribosomal RNA, 581 nt
Filed under: uncultured archaeon
Lineage: Archaea
Description: bacterial SSU rRNA
Rfam family: Archaeal small subunit ribosomal RNA
Source: RNAcentral